This 74-nucleotide transfer RNA is filed under the name Actinomycetota bacterium. RNAcentral's name for it is "tRNA-Ile". It matches the Rfam family "tRNA". From Rfam's summary of the family: Transfer RNA (tRNA) molecules are approximately 80 nucleotides in length. Their secondary structure includes four short double-helical elements and three loops (D, anti-codon, and T loops). Further hydrogen bonds mediate the characteristic L-shaped molecular structure. tRNAs have two regions of fundamental functional importance: the anti-codon, which is responsible for specific mRNA codon recognition, and the 3' end, to which the tRNAs corresponding amino acid is attached (by aminoacyl-tRNA synthetases). tRNAs cope with the degeneracy of the genetic code in two manners: having more than one tRNA (with a specific anti-codon) for a particular amino acid; and 'wobble' base-pairing, i.e. permitting non-standard base-pairing at the 3rd anti-codon position. The record is from RNAcentral. Lineage: Bacteria; Bacillati; Actinomycetota.
GGGCCCGUAGCUCAGCUGGUCAGAGCAGCGGACUCAUAAUCCGUAGGUCGCAGGUUCGAGCCCUGCCGGGCCCA